UCCCCGGCCGACAGGUAUGUCCGCACGUUGUUUCUCUUCGCUGGUCGUUUAGUUUAGUCAUGAUGCUCCAGGCCUUGGUGUUGUGUUGUCGGGCGCCUGGUUGUGUGCUGCUCCGUGCUCCGCUCCGUGCUCCCUGUGCGCGCUGCUGUGGUUCUGUCGGCGGGUGUAAGUGUCAUCUCUCUCUGGUCGCUGGUUGGUGCUGCUAGGUGGCUAAUGCUAGCGUGGACUCAGUUGCUGGUGAUCUGGUGGUGGCAUCCUCCCGUCUUGUCUUGCUGUGUCCCUGGGAGCGGGUUUUUCAUCACUGAGAGUGUCUGCCACGUGUGCUUGGGGAUUUUGUGGUGAUUUCUUUGGUGGAUCCCUUCCCUGCCCUAGCCUUCGUCCAUCCACUUUGGCCUAAGCCCUGAUUAGGUUUUCCCCCUUUUUGUUGGUAUGAAUGAGUUUUAUUGAGAUUUUAGAAUGAAUGUUUAAUAAAAAUUUCAUGUUAACUUGGAA
This is a long non-coding RNA of Solea solea (common sole), 492 nucleotides long. RefSeq lists it as uncharacterized. The record is from RefSeq and is a predicted model, not a curated record. NCBI's taxonomy places the organism in Eukaryota, Metazoa, Chordata, Actinopteri, Pleuronectiformes, Soleidae. The transcript has 2 exons.